Molecule: ribosomal RNA, 433 nt
Filed under: uncultured bacterium
Lineage: Bacteria
Description: partial 16S ribosomal RNA
Rfam family: Bacterial small subunit ribosomal RNA
Source: RNAcentral
AACGAACGCUGGCGGCAUGCCUAACACAUGCAAGUCGAACGAGACCUUCGGGUCUAGUGGCGCACGGGUGCGUAACGCGUGGGAACCUGCCCUUAGGUUCGGAAUAACUCCCCGAAAGGGGUGCUAAUACCGGAUAAUUUCUUCGGACCAAAGAUUUAUUGCCUUUGGAUGGGCCCGCGUUGGAUUAGCUAGUUGGUAGGGUAAAAGCCUGCCAAGGCGACGAUCCAUAGCUGGUCUGAGAGGAUGAUCAGCCACACUGGGACUGAGACACGGCCCAGACUCCUACGGGAGGCAGCAGUGGGGAAUAUUGGACCAUGGGCGAAAGCCUGAUCCAGCACUGCCGCGUGAGUGAUGAAGGCCUUAGGGUUGUAAAGCUCUUUUACCCGGGAUGAUAAUGACAGUACCGGGAGAAUAAGCUCCGGCUAACUCCGUG